Molecule: RNase P RNA, 371 nt
Filed under: Sulfitobacter aestuariivivens
Lineage: Bacteria; Pseudomonadati; Pseudomonadota; Alphaproteobacteria; Rhodobacterales; Roseobacteraceae
Description: Bacterial RNase P class A
Rfam family: Bacterial RNase P class A
About the family: Ribonuclease P (RNase P) is a ubiquitous endoribonuclease, found in archaea, bacteria and eukarya as well as chloroplasts and mitochondria.
Source: Rfam by way of RNAcentral
GCGGAAGGCUGGAUGGCCGCGGCCCAGCCUUGGGUCGAGGAAAGUCCGGACUCCAUCAAGCAACGGUGCCGGGUAACGCCCGGGCGGGGCAACCCGACGGACAGCGCCACAGAAAUCAGACUACCCUGCAUGCAGGGUAAAGGUGAAAAGGUGGGGUAAGAGCCCACCGCGCCGCUGGCAACAGGGGCGGCAUGGCAAGCCCCACCGGGAGCAAUGCCAAAUAGGAACCGCGUGCCGUAAGGCGGGGUGGCUUUGCCCCAGCGGUUCGGGUUGGCAGCUAUAGCCUGUGUGGCAACGCACAGGUCAGAUGAAUGGUCAUCCAUGGAAGGCAACUUCCGGGACAGAAUCCGGCUUACAGGCCUUCCGCGCGC